AUACGUAGGGUGCAAGCGUUAAUCGGAAUUACUGGGCGUAAAGCGUGCGCAGGCGGUUUUGUAAGACAGUGGUGAAAUCCCCGGACUCAACCUGGGAACUGCCAUUGUGACUGCAAGGCUGGAGUGCGGCAGAGGGGGAUGGAAUUCCGCGUGUAGCAGUGAAAUGCGUAGAUAUGCGGAGGAACACCGAUGGCGAAGGCAAUCCCCUGGGCCUGCACUGACGCUCAUGCACGAAAGCGUGGGGAGCAAACAGGAUUAGAUACCCUGGUAGUCCACGCCCUAAACGAUGUCAACUGGUUGUUGGGGAUUUAUUUUCUCAGUAACGAAGCUAACGCGUGAAGUUGACCGCCUGGGGAGUACGGCCGCAAGGUUAAAACUCAAAUGAAUUGACGGGG
Molecule: ribosomal RNA, 395 nt
Filed under: uncultured bacterium
Lineage: Bacteria
Description: partial 16S ribosomal RNA
Rfam family: Bacterial small subunit ribosomal RNA
Source: RNAcentral